GGCGGCAUNCUUUACACAUGCAAGUCGAACGGUAACAGGGUGCUUGCACCGCUGACGAGUGGCGAACGGGUGAGUAAUGCGUCGGAACGUGCCGAGUAGUGGGGGAUAACGCAGCGAAAGUUGUGCUAAUACCGCAUACGUACUGAGGUAGAAAGUGGGGGACCUUCGGGCCUCACGCUAUUCGAGCGGCCGACGUCUGAUUAGCUAGUAGGUGAGGUAAAGGCUCACCUAGGCGACGAUCAGUAGCGGGUCUGAGAGGAUGAUCCGCCACACUGGGACUGAGACACGGCCCAGACUCCUACGGGAGGCAGCAGUGGGGAAUUUUGGACAAUGGGCGAAAGCCUGAUCCAGCCAUGCCGCGUGUCUGAAGAAGGCCUUCGGGUUGUAAAGGACUUUUGUCAGGGAGGAAAUCCCUAGUGCUAAUAACACUGGGGGAUGACAGUACCUGAAGAAUAAGCACCGGCUAACUACGUGCCAGCAGC
RNAcentral lists this ribosomal RNA (482 nucleotides) under uncultured bacterium. RNAcentral's name for it is "bacterial SSU rRNA". It matches the Rfam family "Bacterial small subunit ribosomal RNA", at positions 38 to 515 of the family's 1533-position model. The record is from RNAcentral.